This 78-nucleotide small nucleolar RNA is filed under the name Babesia bovis. RNAcentral's name for it is "Small nucleolar RNA Z159/U59". It matches the Rfam family "Small nucleolar RNA Z159/U59". Rfam says of the family: This family consists of several snoRNA Z159 or U59 sequences which are members of the C/D class of snoRNA which contain the C (UGAUGA) and D (CUGA) box motifs. Lineage: Eukaryota; Apicomplexa; Aconoidasida; Piroplasmida; Babesiidae. The record is from Rfam by way of RNAcentral.
GAUCAAUGAUGAUUAAUUAAAACUUUCGUUCUUCCGAGUUUAUAUGCGGAAAAACCUGGAGACCUGAUCUGAUGUAUC